GACGAACGCUGGCGGCGUGCUUAACACAUGCAAGUCGAACGGAAAGGCCCUGCUUGCAGGGUACUCGAGUGGCGAACGGGUGAGUAACACGUGGGUGAUCUGCCCUGCACUUCGGGAUAAGCCUGGGAAACUGGGUCUAAUACCGGAUAGGAGCCAUUUUUAGUGUGAUGGUUGGAAAGUUUUUUCGGUGUAGGAUGAGCUCGCGGCCUAUCUGCUUGUUGGUGGGGUAAUGGCCUACCAAGGCGGCGACGGGUAGCCGGCCUGAGAGGGUGGACGGCCACAUUGGGACUGAGAUACGGCCCAGACUCCUACGGGAGGCAGCAGUGGGGAAUAUUGCACAAUGGGCGCAAGCCUGAUGCAGCGACGCCGCGGGGGGGAUGACGGCCUUCGGGUUGUAAAAUCCUUUCGCUAGGGACGAAGCUUUUUGUGACGGUACCUAGAUAAGAAGCACCGGCUAACUACGUG
This 465-nucleotide ribosomal RNA is filed under the name uncultured bacterium. Its description in RNAcentral is "partial 16S ribosomal RNA". It matches the Rfam family "Bacterial small subunit ribosomal RNA", at positions 28 to 507 of the family's 1533-position model. The record is from RNAcentral.